AAGUGAUCCACCUGUCUUGGCCUCCCAAAGUGCUGGGAUUAUAGCCCUGAGCCACCACACCUAGCCGGAAGUAUAAUUUUGAGCUUUUCCCCCAUUUUAGUGGAAGAAGGUUUGUACAUGUCAAGAAAGUUCUCAACAGCAUUCUUUCCAUCCUUUCAGGAAUGUCCCCGGACAGAAAUCAAGAGAUAAGAGGUGCUAUAAUCUCUCACCU
This is a long non-coding RNA of Homo sapiens (human), 211 nucleotides long. RefSeq lists it as uncharacterized. NCBI's taxonomy places the organism in Eukaryota, Metazoa, Chordata, Mammalia, Primates, Hominidae. The transcript has 3 exons. The record is from RefSeq and is a predicted model, not a curated record.